UUUGCCUUUGCGGAGAUAGCUGACUAUCCAAAGGCUCUCUUUUUCAGCUUUGCUUUUCAAUCAAUCUGUAGUCUUUAUUUGAGGGCUGCUAUCUUUCCCUGUAAUAAUAAAGACAGUUGUUCAUUUUAUUGUUCUCAUUUCCUAGUACGUACAAUUAUUUUCUUCUGAAUAUUUGUGUUGAAAUUUCGAUGAAUUCAGAAUACUAUAGCCUUUGGAAAAGUUUGUACCCAAAUUUAAAGAGUUCCACACUAAGAGCCCGUUUGGACAGAAGAAUUUUUUCACUUUUUUCGAAAUCAGUGUUUGAUCACAAAAUUUUCAAUUUUCACUUGAAGAUUAAUUUUGGAAUUGUUUGAAAAUUUGAAAAACUCCAAAAAGUUAUUUUUAAAAAUUUUUACUCAGAUCACUCACAAAAAUUUAAAAAUAACCCAAAAUUAUAUUCAUGUCCAAACACAGUUCUAAUUUUCAAAUACUAUAUUUAUUUGAAAAAAAAAUCACUUUUUUGAAAUUUGACAAUUCUUAUGUCCAAACGCCCACAAAGUUUUGAGGAUAAAUUACCUAUGAGGGUAGUAUUUUCAGUUCAUGACUCAUAACCUGAUCAUGUGUUACGUGAGACUGAGAACUUUCAUUGUUCAAUUAUCUAAGCAUCAAAAUCAAUGUAUCUCUUGAAUUUGAGGGCGGCAAACAGACGGAUUGAUUAAAUUUGGGCAGGUCAAAAUCCGUUGAGUCAAUAAACGGGUUAUGACUUAAUUCGUCGAAAGUUUGUUUGGGUCAAAAUGGGUUGGAUCAAUAUAAGUUAAAUAACGGGUUAUAACCUAAUCCAUCCAAUUAUUACUCAAAUCGAAGCAACUAAUCUAUGCCCGGCAAGUUACACUUAUUAUAAAACAAAGGCCCUCGGAAGAGCCUGAAGUAGAGAAACCUACAAAUAAAUAAAAAAAUACCUGUCAAAAGCUUCACCUCUGUAAACGUGGAAUAAAGAUCGUCGAGCCGCCGACAACUCCCAGGAAACUCUAUUCCUCUAGAUGAAAAGUUGACAAAAUCAUAGAAUAUGAGAAUUCAAGAAUUGCAACUAAGAUCUGACUCUAAGCCAGUACCAAUUCACAAAAUUUUUAAAGCCUGUGAAAUUACAAAUUUUAUGAUUAUUAAUGUAUAUUCCAACCAACGUUUUACCAAGAUGCCUUCAUCUACUUAAGCUCCGAAGACUUUUUGCUAUAAGACUUUGACCUAACACGUUAACUUUCGGGCCGGGAUGGCGGGUUACAAAUUUAUUGGUCAAAUUUGACACCUCUAGCUGAAUUCAUUGCAAAAUCC
This 1308-nucleotide long non-coding RNA is filed under the name Nicotiana tabacum (common tobacco). Its description in RNAcentral is "long non-coding RNA (NTAB_LNC015583)". Lineage: Eukaryota; Viridiplantae; Streptophyta; Magnoliopsida; Solanales; Solanaceae. The record is from RNAcentral.